GAUGGCGGAACGGGCAGCUGGCAGGAGAGGGCAAGGCCCAGAAGACCCUCUGGUGCUGAAGACGGUGGGAACUCCGCCAGGGAGGGCGUGGCCGAAAAGGACCUUCCGUCUCUAAAGAUGGCGGACCGCUGCGGGGAGGGCGUGGCCAAUAAGGCCCUCGGGCGCUGAAGACGUCUGAACGCAGCGUGCAGGAGAGCAGCUGCGAAGACCCUCCGGCGCUGAAGAUGGCGACCGCUGCGGGGAGGGCACAGCGAGAAGAACGCUCGAGUCUGGGUCUUAAUCACCUCUUCUUAAAAGGACACCAUCAUACAUGCCCAAAAUAUCCUUUUACCUUUAUCAGCUCUUUAAAGGUUUAAACCUCUGAAGACCUGGGGGUCAAGACCUCAACAGGAGGAAUGGUGGGAAGAGGCAGGUGAGCAGCUUCCCCCAACACAGUUACAAAGAAAAUGAAGUCAGCAACUGUGAACCGAAACCAUGAACCAAAAUAAAACGACACUGUUUUGGGUCUCCUGUUGUCCUCCUUCCCCGGAAACGUAUCUUCCAGGGCUCUCAGCACCCUCCUGACAGCCAGGCCUCCCUGUGUAUCUGGCUCUCAUAUUCCUUUUGGCUUCAUCUCCACGAAGGACACAGGAAGGCAUCCUUGC
This is a long non-coding RNA of Fukomys damarensis (Damara mole-rat), 644 nucleotides long. RefSeq lists it as uncharacterized. The record is from RefSeq and is a predicted model, not a curated record. The transcript is spliced from 3 exons. Lineage: Eukaryota; Metazoa; Chordata; Mammalia; Rodentia; Bathyergidae.